AGUGAACGCUGGCGGUAGGCCCAACACAUGCAAGUCGAACGGCAGCACAGUAAGAGCUUGCUCUUACGGGUGGCGAGUGGCGGACGGGUGAGGAAUACAUCGGAAUCUACUUUUUCGUGGGGGAUAACGUAGGGAAACUUACGCUAAUACCGCAUACGACCUACGGGUGAAAGCAGGGGAUCUUCGGACCUUGCGCGAUUGAAUGAGCCGAUGUCGGAUUAGCCAGUUGGCGGGGUAAAGGCCCACCAAGGCGACGAUCCGUAGCUGGUCUGAGAGGAUGAUCAGCCACACUGGAACUGAGACACGGUCCAGACUCCUACGGGAGGCAGCAGUGGGGAAUAUUGGACAAUGGGCGCAAGCCUGAUCCAGCCAUACCGCGUGGGUGAAGAAGGCCUUCGGGUUGUAAAGCCCUUUUGUUGGGAAAGAAAAGCAGCAGGUUAAUACCCCGCUGUUCUGACGGUACCCAAAGAAUAAGCACCGGCUAACUUCGUG
RNAcentral lists this ribosomal RNA (492 nucleotides) under uncultured bacterium. Its description in RNAcentral is "partial 16S ribosomal RNA". It matches the Rfam family "Bacterial small subunit ribosomal RNA", at positions 29 to 507 of the family's 1533-position model. The record is from RNAcentral.